GUACUUUAAGGAAUGUAGGAAUUGAAGAAGUUAUGUAGAAUCUUGAGAUCUUUCAAGGAAGUCAAGAGACUUAAGGAGAAACCGACGAAAAAGGAAUCCAACUAGAAGUGGUACUACCUCAAAUGGAAACUCAAAGAAAAAAUGAUGAAGGCUCAAGUCUCCCAAAGGAGUGGAGAUACGUCCAUAACCAUCCAACAAGUCUCAUCAUCGGCGAUCCAUCAAAUUAAAGGGGGUAACUAUUAGAAACUCUCUUGUAUUGAUAAUAGCCAAUGUUCAUCAAAUUCGAUUUUAUAAAAUUCUUAGACUCUAUUUGUGAUAGGAAUGCAAGAUUAUCACAUAUAUUGCUUGAUUUGUAAUCUAAUGAAGAAGUUGAAUUCGCCCAUCA
Molecule: long non-coding RNA, 385 nt
Filed under: Actinidia chinensis (golden kiwifruit)
Lineage: Eukaryota; Viridiplantae; Streptophyta; Magnoliopsida; Ericales; Actinidiaceae
Description: long non-coding RNA (ACHI_LNC002144)
Source: RNAcentral